GCGGGUGUGGCGGAAUUGGUAGACGCACCAGAUUUAGGUUCUGGCGCCGAAAGGCUUGGGGGUUCAAGUCCCUUCACCCGCACCA
This 85-nucleotide transfer RNA is filed under the name Pseudooceanicola sp. RNAcentral describes it as "tRNA-Leu". It matches the Rfam family "tRNA". From Rfam's summary of the family: Transfer RNA (tRNA) molecules are approximately 80 nucleotides in length. Their secondary structure includes four short double-helical elements and three loops (D, anti-codon, and T loops). The record is from RNAcentral. Lineage: Bacteria; Pseudomonadati; Pseudomonadota; Alphaproteobacteria; Rhodobacterales; Paracoccaceae.